GAUAUAUAAAAUAAGGAUUGAAGAUCAAAAAAUAGAAUUAGCUUGAAAUUAAAAUAACAACUGGAUAUAUGAAAAGAAGGUCCUAGUUAAACCAUAAGAAUUGAGUUGUUGAGAUUGAGGAUCCCCUUAGCCUGGACUCCCAUAUAUACUAGGUCAUAAGAAGCUUCUUAAGAAGUUUCUAUGAAGCUUGAAAAUAAAGCAAGUCUAAGAUCC
RNAcentral lists this long non-coding RNA (213 nucleotides) under Physcomitrium patens. Its description in RNAcentral is "long non-coding RNA (PPAT_LNC007401)". Lineage: Eukaryota; Viridiplantae; Streptophyta; Bryopsida; Funariales; Funariaceae. The record is from RNAcentral.